AUUACUUCGGUUUGAAGUUCUUUAUGACUGAGUGGCGGACGGGUGAGUAACGCGUGGGUAACCUGCCUUGUACUGGGGGAUAGCAGCUGGAAACGGCUGCUAAUACCGCAUAAGCGCACAGUACCGCAUGGUACGGUGUGAAAAACUCCGGUGGUGUGAGAUGGACCCGCGUCUGAUUAGCUAGUUGGCAGGGUAGCGGCCUACCAAGGCGACGAUCAGUAGCCGACCUGAGAGGGUGACCGGCCACAUUGGGACUGAGACACGGCCCAGACUCC
This 275-nucleotide ribosomal RNA is filed under the name uncultured Lachnospiraceae bacterium. RNAcentral describes it as "partial 16S ribosomal RNA". It matches the Rfam family "Bacterial small subunit ribosomal RNA", at positions 70 to 339 of the family's 1533-position model. Lineage: Bacteria; Bacillati; Bacillota; Clostridia; Lachnospirales; Lachnospiraceae. The record is from RNAcentral.